Papaver somniferum (opium poppy) is the source of this 822-nucleotide long non-coding RNA. RefSeq lists it as uncharacterized. Lineage: Eukaryota; Viridiplantae; Streptophyta; Magnoliopsida; Ranunculales; Papaveraceae. The transcript is spliced from 2 exons. The record is from RefSeq and is a predicted model, not a curated record.
AUACCAUAAAUGAUAGAUGGAGUAUGAAUCCUUAUGUGUGGUGGGUUACUUAUGGGGUGUAUGCUCCUUUACUUCAGCAAAAAGCACUCAUGUUGCUUGGCCAACCUUGUUCAUCUUCUUGUAGUGAGAGAAACUGGAGUACGUAUAGUUUCAUAAAUUCUGUGAAGAGAAAUAAAAUUACUCCACAAAGAGGUGAAGAUUUGGUAUUUGUUCAUACUAAUCUUCGUCUCUUAUCAAGACGAAGCCCAGAAUACUUGCUAGGGGAUACAAGAAUGUGGGACAUUGGAGGUGAUUCUUUUGAUACUAUGGAGGGUACUGUUGGUGUACUUGAAGUUGCUGAUCUUUCUCUUAAUGAGCCAGAGAUGGAACGCAUGAUAUUGGAUGAUAAUGAAGCUAAUGUGGAGGAGCUAUACCCCCUGGUUUGACUGUUGACGUUAUUUUUUGGUGACCAGCUGGAUCCUGGAUGUAGCGGCAUUCACAUCAUACUUGGAGGAUCCUUGUUUUUUGGGCUAGUAUUUGGUUCAUGAAGUUGCGCUGUUGCGGGAAGGACUUCACUCCCCUUUGCGAAGCCUUCUAAUUUUUUGUUGAUAUGUAUAUAUAUAGACUAGUAAAUGUCGCGGAAAGGACUUUACUCCCUUUUGCAAAGCCUUCUAAUUUUUUGUUGAUAUGUAUAUAUAGACUAGUAAAUGUCUAUAUAACCUUUUGUUGAUAAUGGAUAUCUAUGUUCUCCUGGAAGGCUGGAACAUUUAGACAGGUAAAUGCUUAAUCUUUUAUGUUAGGAAUGGGGACAAACAUAUAUAAUUUAAUGAAAAUAUUUAUAUA